CGCGUGAGAAUUUGCCUUUAGGAGGGGAACAACAGUUAGAAAUGACUGCUAAUGCCCCAUAUGCUAUUUUAUUAGUGAAACGGAAUUUAUUUCGCCUGAAGAGAAGCUCGCGUCUGAUUAGCUAGUUGGUUAAAGGUAACGGCUUACCAAGGCGACGAUCAGUAGCUGGUUUGAGAGGAUGAUCAGCCACACUGGAACUGAGACACGGUCCAGACUCCUACGGGAGGCAGCAGUGGGGAAGUUUUCUUGCAAUGGGCGAAAGCCUGACAGAGCAAUACCGCGUGAGGGAGUGAAGGCUCG
This 300-nucleotide ribosomal RNA is filed under the name uncultured bacterium. Its description in RNAcentral is "bacterial SSU rRNA". It matches the Rfam family "Bacterial small subunit ribosomal RNA", at positions 114 to 418 of the family's 1533-position model. The record is from RNAcentral.